Molecule: long non-coding RNA, 2894 nt
Organism: Lutra lutra (Eurasian river otter)
Lineage: Eukaryota; Metazoa; Chordata; Mammalia; Carnivora; Mustelidae
Exons: 3
Source: RefSeq, a predicted model, not a curated record
GGAUAAGGCCCAGAAGCUGGAUGGCAAAGAGAAGAUAGGAAGAGAUUCUGAAACCUUUGUGAUAUCACUGCGUGGCCUAAUUAGCAAAUCCUGAAGUCACUACACCUGAAGACUUCUUUUACAGAAGUGAACACAUCUUUCUUUUAAUCGAAGGCAGUUUGAGGUAGGUAAUUUUCAUGACUUACAGUCAAACGCAUCCUAGCUGAUGGAGUUGGUACAUUCUCUGCUUCUUGAGAAGAUUGGCACUUAGAAAGAUCCUAGGUUUGGGAGGGCCUUAAUUCUCUGCACAACUGUCUGGGUGUUUCACGGGCCAUCUCUUCCUAUCAGCUGGGUGGGCCCUGGGAAGCAUGGACUAUAUCCAACACCCAGCACAACGCAUGGCACAAGGCCAGGAUCUGGGAUGAACACCACAGACAUGGAGCCUACCUAGGGGAAGCCUGGCCAUCUGGGUGGGGAAACAAGACACAGGCAUGAUGGGAAAGCCGAAUGCAAGGCAGCAGAGUAAGUUCUGCUCGUGAGACCCUGUAUCAUGAGUUUUUAGCAGAGCCCCGUUCAUAAAUAUGGCAUGAAAUGAAUAUAUUAUUGAAAUGAAGACAAGGGAACACAUGGAAGGAGCACCCACGGUGUUCCAGAAGGCAAAGCAUGUGGUGCCAGCCUCUCAGAGCAGCCGGUAGAAGAGAAGGACCCCCUCCAUACAGGCAAAGUUGCUGAGAGUUUGGGAGGUUUGUUUCCUCUGCACACGGGAUCAUUGGAAGAGCCGGGAUUUGAACACUGGCUUUUCUUGACUCCCAACUUCGUGUUCUUUCUGCCAUUGCAAGCCAUGAAUACAGUAUCCUCUGAAGAUUUCAGACCAUCAGAAGAUGGCGCCUGGCUGUGGUGGAUUUUAGGAUCAGACCUUAGGGGCUCUUGAGUACUAGAAUAACAUGUUCAGUCUUGAGUUUCUGAGCAGGGCAAAUGACAAGUUAGGAGCUGUACUUGAGAAAAGAGAAGCACUGACUGAGGACAACAAUCACAGAAAGAAUAUACCAUCAGCUACCGGUGUUGUGUUCACCCAAGUCCUGCUGUUAUCAAGCUCACGUCAGAGGUGAGGAAAGGGAGGAUAAGAAAGGUCAAGCCAUCUGUUCAAAGUCCCAGGGCUGGUAAGAGGAGUUUGAACUCACAGCCCAUGAUCCUAACCACUUCCUCACCCAUCAGAAUGAGGAGAGAAGAAGAGAAAGGGCUGUGGAAAAGGAGAGGCUGGUGGUCUAUGGAAAAGACCUGUUGAGAAAUAUCAGGAGGCUUAUGCCUCCACAAGCUCUGGUCCAGCCCAGUGUCAGUGUCCCAUGACAGACUACGCCUUUUCUACUGUAACCCCUCUUAUAAUGUCUCCUCUUUCCUGAAAGCUGACCCACCUAUCCCAAAGGCCACUCUUUUCCCUGACCUCCUACUGCUCUUGGCGCCUCUGACCCCCAACCUGGCAUUUGAAGCCCAGAUCAGAAUCUGGACCUGUUACCUCUUAGCUGCACAACGUGGGCUAGUCUUUGCCUCAGUUUCAUCGUCUGUCAUAAAGAUGCCAUAAGACCUCCUGGAGUUCAGUAAUUAAAGGCAAUUAAGGAUAUGCUCUAAAAGAAAGAGUGAUGUUCUCAUGUGACAACCAAAAUAUCCCAUUUUUGCCACAUUGCCUCACUACAUUAUGAGAUUAUGAAUGAAGGUUUUUGUCUGUCCCUCUGCGGCACAUCACAGAGCUGACCAGUCACGCAAAGGCCUUUACUCUUGGUAUCUUGCUAGGGAGAGGCCCUGGGAACCAGAGAAGCCGGCCACAGCUAAGAGGCCAGGCUGCCAGUCCUUUCCUGAAUCUGGUGGGCCUCUGGCUUCCGAGGCAGCUGCAGUCAUGCACAAUUCACCUCCUUCCCGUGGAACCCAUUUCAGGAUUAGCUGCCAGGAGGUCAUAAAAUGCAAAGAGGAAGUGGGAGCAUCCCACAAUUGUAGGAACCUGGCUCCAAGGGAAGUAACCUGUCUGUUGGUCUGUCUGCCUCUGGGGAAGUGGGCCAUAAAUCGCAGUCUUAAGGGCUGGUGAAAGGCCAGAGCUAUUUAUAAAAAGUCUGGGCUUUUGAACUCUUUAAAGAGGCAAUAGCCUUCUCUCAGAUAAUUGAGGUUUGGUAUCAAGGGCUCAAAUGCUUCAGCAAACAAAGCUGUCAGUGCCCAGCUGGGAGAAUGAGGAGGAGAGUGUUUGCCUGGAAGCACAGGAGCAUCUCCACCCCCCCCCCCCACACACACACCCUGGUCCCACUAUUCUCUCUUGCAUCCCUGACCUGGGCUGAUCACCAAGCAUGCACAGAUGAACUCAUGCAGGAGGAUGGUCCACUUCCUUACAAGAGCGGGAGGCAGCUGAAAGUAAAACUGCUUACCCAGGUUUGCACACAAGGCUGUGUGACUACACUUGCUGUUUCUUCCACCUUGAAUACUCUCCCCUCUAGUCCUUUCUUGAAUGUCACCUCCUCCAAGAGCCCUUCCUUGCCUACACUGGCUUCUUGCAACACCUCAGUUGGUUUUAUUUUCUUCAAAGAACUUUCAACCAUCUGAGAGCUGGGCUUCAUAGAUGUGUGUCCCCACCAGACCCUUAGCACCAGCACCCUGAAUGGCAGGUGGAACGAAAUGCCAUUAAAUGCUCCCUAAAAAUCUCCCUAAAAAUCUGUUGCAUGAGUAUAUAAAUUACCAUACGAUCCACACAGAGGAGGGGACCAUGACCCUGUGUGGGGAGUGUAGAUUGGACUGGGAAACACUUCAGAGAGGUGGUGACAGCUAAUGGGACCCUGCAGGAGGAGCAGCCUCCCAAGUGCAGGCCAGGUAGGGACUGCAUGCUAUGUUUCAGGGAGCAGGAACAAUGCAGUGUGGCCAGAGUACAGGGCACAGGA